AGACCUCCCUCUCCAAUUUUUUAAAUUUUAAUAUUUUGAUAUAAAAUAUAAAAUAUAAACCUCCCGCCUCCUGGGAGUUUUUAAAAUUUAGUGAAUCAAUUUAUUUUAUAUCGGGCCUAAUAGUACCCUGGGUGCCAGAGGUUCUUCCACGCUCGUAGGGGGGAUAAUGAGGGAUACACGAGGAUUCAAGCUGGGCGGAGGCGAGCGGGAAGAACCUCUGGAACACUUCUAUGGUUUCUCAG
This is a non-coding RNA of Paramuricea clavata, 242 nucleotides long. NCBI's taxonomy places the organism in Eukaryota, Metazoa, Cnidaria, Anthozoa, Malacalcyonacea, Plexauridae. The record is from the annotation of a GenBank genome assembly.